Non-coding RNA from Schizosaccharomyces pombe (fission yeast), 602 nucleotides. The record is from the annotation of a GenBank genome assembly. NCBI's taxonomy places the organism in Eukaryota, Fungi, Ascomycota, Schizosaccharomycetes, Schizosaccharomycetales, Schizosaccharomycetaceae.
UUAUUAUGUGUAUUAUAAAUCAAUUAAACUCGUAAAAACCAUGAUUCUUACCUUCGUUAGUGUUGCUAUAUACACGCUUAGUCAACUUUGGAGUCAAAAACGAUUGAACGGUAUUGAAAAGCGCCGCUACACUGACCACAACAUUCCAUUUGGCAACUAAACUAUCUGGGAGCAUAGCUAGUAUUUGAGACAUUGUUAUUUCUUAGGAUAUUAAAUUUCUAGUAGUGUGUAGUUGAGGGAUUACAGUACUAAAUUGGAGAAAAGCGACUGUGAGCAAUUUAUAACAUUGACAGGUUUUGCACUAACUUAAUUAGUAAAAUCGAUGCGAACAUUAUGUUUUAUAUCGCUAUGCUAAGACAGAUUUAGUAUAAUAAAACAACAAAGUAAGCUUAUUUUCAAUGUAAAAAGAGAUGCUUUUUUACUGAGGUUUCAAAGAGAUUUCUUUUUCAGUGCUGAUUUCGGGUUGGGAUUUACCGGUGAGAAUAUCCUUACAACUAGGUUAUUGCAUAAGUAACGUCCCGGUGAAUUGUUGACAUUGUACGAUUGUGAUAACUGGGGCUGACUUAGCACAUUAGCAAUUAGAAAGGUAGUAAGAGAUCCUC